This 199-nucleotide microRNA precursor is filed under the name Oryza punctata. RNAcentral's name for it is "MIR812 microRNA precursor family". It matches the Rfam family "MIR812 microRNA precursor family". Lineage: Eukaryota; Viridiplantae; Streptophyta; Magnoliopsida; Poales; Poaceae. The record is from Rfam by way of RNAcentral.
AGAUAAUACAGUUUUGUGUUUUUUUUUCUAAAGUUUGACCGUUCGUUUUAUUUGAAAAAAUUUAUGAUUAGUAUUUUUGUUGUUAUUAGAUGAUAAAAUAUAAAUAGUAAUUUAAACGUGUCUAAUUUUUGUUAAUUUUUUAUUUUAAAUAAAAUGAAUAGUUAAAUAUUAAAUACGGAAACUCAAGACUACAAUUAAA